RNAcentral lists this ribosomal RNA (477 nucleotides) under uncultured bacterium. RNAcentral describes it as "partial 16S ribosomal RNA". It matches the Rfam family "Bacterial small subunit ribosomal RNA", at positions 28 to 507 of the family's 1533-position model. The record is from RNAcentral.
GAUUAACGCUGGCGGCGUGCAUAACACAUGCAAGUCGAACGAUGAAACUUAAAUGAUUUCUUCGGAAUGAACUUAAGUGGAUUAGUGGCGGACGGGUGAGUAACGCGUGAGUAACCUGCCUUACACAAGGGGAUAGCCGUUGGAAACGACGAAUAAUACCCUAUGAAACUAUCACUUCGCAUGAAGCGAUAGUCAAAGUGUUAGCGGUGUAAGAUGGACUUGCGUCUGAAUAGCUAGUUGGUGAGAAAAAAGCCCACCAAGGCAACGAUCAGUAGCCGGCUUGAGAGAGUGUACGGCCACAUUGGGACUGAGGCACGGCCCAGACUCCUACGGGAGGCAGCAGUGGGGAAUUUUGCACAAUGGGGGAAACCCUGAUGCAGCGACGCCGCGUGAUUUAGAAGGCCUUCGGGUUGUAAAAAUCUUUUGUAUAGGAAGAAAAUGACAGUACUAUACGAAUAAGGUCCGGCUAAUUACGUG